This 168-nucleotide microRNA precursor is filed under the name Pelobates cultripes (western spadefoot toad). The record is from RNAcentral. Lineage: Eukaryota; Metazoa; Chordata; Amphibia; Anura; Pelobatidae.
GCAGACACAUUCCAGCCAAUCAGCAGCAGACCCUCCCUCCCAAACCCUCCCACCUCCUGGACAGCAUCCAUUUUACAUUCAUUGUGAAGCUGCAUUCUUAGUGAGCUGUCCAGGAGGUGGGAGGGUCUGGGAGGGAGGGUCUGCUGCUGAUUGGCUGGAAUGUGUCUG